UGAAACCAGAGGUGCAUAUUUAAAUGCACAAAUGCAGUCUGGAGAGCAAACCAAGAAGCGGCACGGGAGAGAUCCAUCACCCAGCAGGUGUUGAACACAAACAGCUAAACUGGAACUACUGAGAUGAGUCAGAAAAACAUUAACAGUCAAGGCCGUGGUUCAGGCAUCGAAGGAGGGAAGGGAAAAGGCGGACGUAGUCGAGAGAUAAAGAGCAAGCCAACUGAAGAAAAGAAACAGGAUCUCUUGAAAGAAGGCAAUGCUUCACUUGGCCCUUCAAAAGGCAGCAAAAGACCGUCUACAGACAACUCAAAUGA
Molecule: long non-coding RNA, 314 nt
Organism: Anguilla anguilla (European eel)
Lineage: Eukaryota; Metazoa; Chordata; Actinopteri; Anguilliformes; Anguillidae
Exons: 5
Source: RefSeq, a predicted model, not a curated record